AUGGGACGUGCUGGAGCCAUGGGUGACGGUGACGUCCUGGUGACUGCGCUUGUCCUGCUGCUGGCCGCCGUGGCUGUCUGGUGGGCCUUUGGCCACCGGCAACCACGGAGCCGGAGCACACGGACAGCGAAGAGGAGCAAGCGCCCCAGGGUCCGGCCCAGAGGCUCAUGGAGGAAGCGAGGAGCCCCUGCGGCUCCCAGGUUCCCCAGGCCUCGGGCUGCUCCUGGCGAGCAGCCACGUGCUCCCGCCAGCCCCCUGGGCAGCCCCUGCGGCUGCGGCCCCUGCCUGGCAGUGGCCCGGGAGCUGCAGGAACUGAUGCUGCAGCUCUGGGAUGGCAACGGGACACGUGCGCCCCUCUACUCUGGGAUGUGGCAGGCCUUGUGGAAAGAACUGAAGGAGCUGCUGGAGCGAGGCCACCUGCCCUGCUGUGCCUCGGCCAGCUCCUCCACAAGCCUCCAUCCCUUCCAGAGGCUGCUCCCAGCGAGAUUCUCCAUCCCUGGGAGAGCCUCAAGGCCUGCAAGGAUGGCACAGCAGGGGGGAGCCACCACCAUCCAUGCAGGAACCUCAGGCUGUCAGAGACCCUGCACCCUGCCAGCAGCCUCUGCUAUCUCUGACAGCCUCCAUCCCUCGCAGAGGCUCAGUGAGACCUGUCAGCCUGCGGAAGGAGCAGAGCCCGUGGACAGGUCUCCCAGCUCCCUUGGACUCACGGACGUCAACAACAUGGGCGCAAUCCUGACCCUUGACAUGGCAGGGGAAAGCCCACAAGUCCAAAUGGGAGCCCAGCCCGAUGCAGGGGAGCCUGCUCAGGAGCAGCUGACGGGGCAGCAAGUGUCCUGGAGCCAGCUGUGGUCAUCCCACAGCGGCCAGGACAGCCAGGACGCUGUGCCGGUUCUGCCAGCUGGCAACAGCCCGAGCCUGGUGGUGGAGACGAGCCUUCAGAGGUUCCUCCAUCUGCAGGAAGCUGCCCCGAGACAGCCCUCGAGUGCCGCGAAGGGCUUUCUAGUAGCAGGUGAGAUCUUCUGA
Molecule: long non-coding RNA, 1023 nt
Filed under: Taeniopygia guttata (zebra finch)
Lineage: Eukaryota; Metazoa; Chordata; Aves; Passeriformes; Estrildidae
Description: lncRNA (ENSTGUG00000024780.1)
Source: RNAcentral